AACCAUAGAAACCUGCGGAGUACCUGCGGAAGGAUCAUUAAAAAAACUUUGCCCGUGGACCCUGGGUCCAAGGCGCAAAACCCACACUAUGUGCACUGUUAUCGUUCUUUUGGCAGGGGCUUGGGGUGUCUUCCAACUUGGGGAACCUCAACUUCUCGUCUAGCUCUAUCCACCUCGGACAGCUGGACAUGAGAAGCGGUUACUCUGCCAAGUGACACUUAAAAACACGCUUUUUUGUCU
This 240-nucleotide unclassified non-coding RNA is filed under the name soil metagenome. RNAcentral's name for it is "partial contains 5.8S ribosomal RNA, internal transcribed spacer 2, and large subunit ribosomal RNA". The record is from RNAcentral.